UGGGGAAUUUUGGACAAUGGGCGAAAGCCUGAUCCAGCAAUGCCGCGUGUGUGAAGAAGGCCUUCGGGUUGUAAAGCACUUUUGUCCGGAAAGAAAUCCUUGGCUCUAAUACAGUCGGGGGAUGACGGUACCGGAAGAAUAAGCACCGGCUAACUACGUGCCAGCAGCCGCGGUAAUACGUAGGGUGCAAGCGUUAAUCGGAAUUACUGGGCGUAAAGCGUGCGCAGGCGGUUUGCUAAGACCGAUGUGAAAUCCCCGGGCUCAACCUGGGAACUGCAUUGGUGACUGGCAGGCUAGAGUAUGGCAGAGGGGGGUAGAAUUCCACGUGUAGCAGUGAAAUGCGUAGAGAUGUGGAGGAAUACCGAUGGCGAAGGCAGCCCCCUGGGCCAAUACUGACGCUCAUGCACGAAAGCGUGGGGAGCAAACAGGAUUAGAUACCCUGGUAGUCCACGCCCUAAACGAUGUCGACUAGUUGUUGGGGAUUCAUUUCCUUAGUAACGUAGCUAACGCGUGAAGUUGACCGCCUGGGGGAGUACGGUCGCAAGAUUAAAACUCAAAGGAAUUGACGGGGUCAUAGCUGUUUCCU
This 586-nucleotide ribosomal RNA is filed under the name uncultured bacterium. RNAcentral describes it as "partial 16S ribosomal RNA". It matches the Rfam family "Bacterial small subunit ribosomal RNA", at positions 355 to 1375 of the family's 1533-position model. The record is from RNAcentral.